ACCACUUUAAUUUGAUGGGUUACGUAAGCUUUAAGUAUAUUUAAAUAUGGAAUUUCUUUGAUAGAUUUCCAGUUUAAGAUUUUAAACAAUAUAUGAAAAUAUAAUUUAGAUAAUUUAUUAAUUUUGGUUAAUUAGGUGCCAGCAACCGCGGUCAUACCUAGCAAACUAGUUUACUAAGAUAGUAAAUACUUUUUCAUUUCGAUAUUAGUUAAUAAGUAGUGAAAUACUAUUAAUAUAUUACACCAACAAUAUGAAUAACAAUUAAAUCCAUGAGUAAAACUAGGAUUAGAGACCCUAUUAUUAUGGGCUUUGAACUAUAUUUACUAAGAAGUAAUAUCUAAAUUUAAAACUUAAAUGUUAUGGCGGCUAACUAAAAUAAUUAGGGGAACUUACCAUAUAAUUGAUAGUCACCAAGCAUAAUCUAACUUACUAUAAUAAUUUGUAUACCGUUGUCUUCAUGAACUUCUUAAAGGGGUUUAUAAUCAUAUACCAUUUAAUGACAAAUCAAGGUGCAGUCUAUUAGUAAGCAUUGAGGUGAGUUACAAUAUUUAUUUUAUUCGGAAUGAAGUAUGAAAUAACUCAGGAAGGUGGACUUAAAAGUACUUUAUAAAUUCAAAAAUAGUAAAAGAAUCGGAUUUAUUUAGUGUA
This 648-nucleotide ribosomal RNA is filed under the name Isabellaria praestans. Its description in RNAcentral is "partial 12S ribosomal RNA". The record is from RNAcentral. Lineage: Eukaryota; Metazoa; Mollusca; Gastropoda; Stylommatophora; Clausiliidae.